Long non-coding RNA from Ostrinia nubilalis (European corn borer), 280 nucleotides. RefSeq lists it as uncharacterized. The record is from RefSeq and is a predicted model, not a curated record. The transcript has 3 exons. Lineage: Eukaryota; Metazoa; Arthropoda; Insecta; Lepidoptera; Crambidae.
CGAUUUAAAUUCCUACUUAGUAUAUAAGGUGGCCACUGGCUGGUAAUUGGCCAGACGACAUUCUUACUUCAGUAGUAACGGUUCCCGAAGCCAUGCGGUCGCUAGUACUUUUCGCCCUUCUUUCAUUGGCUGCUGCCAAGCCUAAACCCGGUGGUCUGUGGGGAGCACCAGCCGUCUCAUCUCUGAGCUAUGUGCACCAGCCCUUAGCCGUAGCCCAGCCGGUGGCGGUCGCCCAGCCCAUAGUGCACGCCGCGCCCGCCGCCGUCAUCGCCAAGCCUGC